GGGUCAGUAGGUUGGUCGUGCCACCGGUACGUACUGGUCUCACUGAUUCCUCCUUCCUGAAGAGCCGUAAUGCCAUUAAUUUGGUGUUGCGGGGAAACAGGACUGUUACUUUGAAAAAAUUAGAGUGUUUAAAGCAAGCUAACGCUUGAAUACAUUAGCAUGGAAUAAUGAAAUAGGACGAUCGAUCCUAUUUUGUUGGUUCCUAGGAUUGACGUA
Molecule: ribosomal RNA, 216 nt
Filed under: Glomeromycotina sp.
Lineage: Eukaryota; Fungi; Glomeromycota
Description: partial small subunit ribosomal RNA
Rfam family: Eukaryotic small subunit ribosomal RNA (bases 40-216)
Source: RNAcentral